This is a long non-coding RNA of Apis dorsata (giant honeybee), 2945 nucleotides long. RefSeq lists it as uncharacterized. The transcript has 2 exons. The record is from RefSeq and is a predicted model, not a curated record. Lineage: Eukaryota; Metazoa; Arthropoda; Insecta; Hymenoptera; Apidae.
UUCUUUCCUUCGGUCUCGGGAGUCUAAUUGAAUCUUCAGGAUUAUUUUCAGCAUGGGAAAAUGUUGGUAAAAUGCUAGGCUACGUUGAAUCAGGCAAAUGUAUGAAGAGCGUAGAAUCGUAGUUAACCGACGUUUGCUUAAAAAUUACCCACUCGAUAAUUGCGUUACAUGCGAACAGCUGCAGCCAGUUCCUCCAUUUUAGAGACAUCGUGUUAGGAAAGUUGGAGAUGCAUAAAUAUCACUUGUACGUUGUAUGUUACUCGCGACACGAGAAUAAAAUAAUUCUUAACUCGAACGAGGAUAGUGAUUCUUUUUAAAAAAAAAAAAAUAAUAUUUAAAUACAGAUGUUACGUAUUCUUUAUUCUCUAUUAUUACAUUUUACACAAAAUUACAGAAGAGAGCAACAGUUAUGUCUAAUUAAUGAUUUUCAACAAUUUCGUUUUAAAUUUUUAAACGAAACGACGAAAUAAAAUUGCUUGGAAUAAUUUAUUCGAUUGUUUAUCUUUGAAACGAAUCUUGUCGUCGUUCGAUGUUAUAUUAUAACUAAGCGUAAUUUAAAACACGGUGAGAUUUUUUCCGAUAUCGAUAAUUGCAAAUUGGAAACGAGAAAAUUAUCGUCGUUUCAUCCUUACGAUCGAUAAUUUAAUUCCUUUCGAUUCUAAUUUUUCAUUUGUCAAAUAGAAUUUACCUCCCGAUCGAUAAUGCAGGUUAUCGUUACUUUUAAUCAGUAUUACGCGGAAUAUGGAAUAUGAACUUAUUCGCGCUUAAGAGUAAUAACACUGCUAAUAUGUGUAUCUUCAAAAUUUGUUACCCGUGUCUAGUUAUUUUUUCUCGCGGCAACAAAUCCAUCAUGUUUCUUAUUUCACGAAUGAAAAAAUUGAAAGCGAUGUUUCCAACAUUUUAUCAAUUACGAAUUAUCCGAAAGAAAGAAAGAAAGAAAGGAAAAAAGAAAGAAAUGGUCGAUUUCAAAUGAGCACAUUUUUUUCGACAGCCUCGGUCGACAGAACAUUUGUUGGCAUUCAAGGGCCAACGAAACGUGACAAAACAAAUUGCAUCUUCCUCUCUCCUCCGGAAAUGCUUGCAAAAAAAAACCCUAGUUUUCGCUCCUAGUUCUCUAAUACUUCCCCUCGUAUAAUUGUAUGUACUUUGUACGAAAAUGAAUUUUUGUUUCACUCGAAAUAUUUAUUAUUAAUCUAUUAUGGAUAUCAGUUUCCAAUAAUUUGAGGAUCUGGGAUAAUUCGACGAAAAGAGAGAAGAUCUAGACACUGAAUAACAACUCCAAUCAAGUUUUAGUUUUAUUUCUAUGGUGCAAGGAAUGAACUCGUUCUCAAUAAUUAAAUCAAUUAAUAACAUUUAAAGAUCUUGGAUAAUCGAUGAAAAGAUCCAUUUUCUUUGAUCCAAAGAGUGGAAUUGAACACUGAAUAACAACUUCAAUCAAGCUAGUUUUAUUUCUCUAUUUCGAACACUCUGUUAAUAAUUGAACUAACAACAUAAUAAUAAUAGAUCGUAAUUCGACGUAUUAAGAGACGAGUAUAUUUAUCCAAUCAACGAUACAAUUAUCUAUUUCCACAAAUCCAUCCUCACGAUCGACAAGCGCCAUCAAUAAGUGUAGUGGUACGCUUGCUUUACAUUUUUCUCCGUUCGACGCCAUUGGAACGGUAGUGACGAUCACGUGACAACGUAGUCCGUUCCGUUCGACAUCCGUGACAUCGUGCUCCCGCGUCCCACGAAACGUGUAAUUCGAGCGAAGCGGUGAAAAGCUGGAGGAAACAGGGCAGAACGCGCAUGGUAUCCCGGGGGGUUGGCCACGAUAUCGUUGAAAGAAGAAGCCGAUGACAUUCCUUGAGCAAAUAAGGGGGCUAAUAAUAACAUUUAAAGCGUCGCGUGUUCGUAGCUUGGCCGGAAGUCGGCCAUUAUUCAGCUGGCCCGUAUAAUGGCAAUCACGUAAUACAGAGUCUUCGAGAAAAAGAAGAAAAAGAAGAAGAAGAAGAAUUCUUGAACGUUUUUCUUCGACAAAAUUCGAUCGAAUUCUAUCUCGUCGAUUAAUGGAACGGAUUUUUCUUUGAAGGUAAUCCUAGAUUUCUGAAAUAUCGACCCGAUGAUUCGGUUUGAAAAUUUUAUGAAAAUUUAAAAAAAAUAAAUGAUAUUUUUUUAUGUCAUGGAUAAGGUGUCUCUUUGAUAUAAUAGAUGUGAUAUUGUUUACGAAGGGGAAGACGUCGAGAAUUAUAUGACGCACGAACGAAGAUAAAUAAUAUGUUUUUUGUUCUCUGCACGAAAGGAAAGAAAUAAAAAACAGGCAAAUCGGAAUUUUAGAAAAAGAAGAAGAAUUCAAUUCUCGAACGUUUUUUCUGCGAUCCUGCGACAAAAUUUGAUCGAUAUCUCUUUCAUCGAUUAACGAUAGAACGAAUAUUUCUUUAAAGACGAGGUGUCUCUUUUAUACAAUAGAUGUGAUAUUGUUCACGAAGGGAAAAGAUGUUGUCGAGUCAGAAUUACGACGCACGAACGAAGAUAAAUAAUAAUGUUUUUGUUCCCUGCACGAAAGAAAAAAAGUGGAAAAGCAGAAUUUUACACCAGUAGUUGUAUAUUAAAGUUGCAAGAGAGACGGUGGUGGUACGGUGAAUCAAACAAAACCUUCGUUUUAAAUAGCGCAUAAAUCUUAACGCGCUACUCUGUCGAAGAUUUCUACACGAGCGAAUUAUUAAUGAGCCUAUAGAGCGACUUUUAUACCUAGCAACGGAACGAGAAAGAAACUUUUUUCUUAUAAUGCGUGCAAUAAAGAGAAACGGUGACAGCGUUUAUUCUCAACGUUUUCGAUUUUUUUUAGUAAAAUUUGAAACGAAAGACAAUUUUGUAAAAAAAAAAAAGAAAAGAAAGAAAGAAAAAGUGCUUCUUUCGCAUUUGCAACAUCCGUAUACAAUGAUAAUUAAAGAUAACAAUGGGUAGAU